RNAcentral lists this ribosomal RNA (723 nucleotides) under Alcaligenaceae bacterium KAs5-R3. Its description in RNAcentral is "bacterial SSU rRNA". It matches the Rfam family "Bacterial small subunit ribosomal RNA", at positions 8 to 721 of the family's 1533-position model. Lineage: Bacteria; Pseudomonadati; Pseudomonadota; Betaproteobacteria; Burkholderiales; Alcaligenaceae. The record is from RNAcentral.
AGAGUUUGAUCCUGGCUCAGAUUGAACGCUAGCGGGAUGCCUUACACAUGCAAGUCGAACGGCAGCACGGACUUCGGUCUGGUGGCGAGUGGCGAACGGGUGAGUAAUGUAUCGGAACGUGCCUAGUAGCGGGGGAUAACUACGCGAAAGCGUAGCUAAUACCGCAUACGCCCUUCGGGGAAAGCAGGGGAUCGUAAGACCUUGCACUAUUAGAGCGGCCGAUAUCGGAUUAGCUAGUUGGUGGGGUAACGGCUCACCAAGGCGACGAUCCGUAGCUGGUUUGAGAGGACGACCAGCCACACUGGGACUGAGACACGGCCCAGACUCCUACGGGAGGCAGCAGUGGGGAAUUUUGGACAAUGGGGGAAACCCUGAUCCAGCCAUCCCGCGUGUGCGAUGAAGGCCUUCGGGUUGUAAAGCACUUUUGGCAGGAAAGAAACGUCCCGGGCUAAUACCCUGGGAAACUGACGGUACCUGCAGAAUAAACACCGGCUAACUACGUGCCAGCAGCCGCGGUAAUACGUAGGGUGCAAGCGUUAAUCGGAAUUACUGGGCGUAAAGCGUGCGCAGGCGGUUCGGAAAGAAAGAUGUGAAAAUCCCAGAGCUUAACUUUGGAACUGCAUUUUUAACUACCGAGCUAGAGUGUGUCAGAGGGGAGGUGGAAUUCCCGCGUGUAGCAUGUGAAAUGCGUAAAUAUGCGGAGGAACACCCGAUGGGCGAAAG